AUGACUACUACAAAUUACAAAUUAUAUAUAAUUUUAUUUCAUAUAAAGGGAAAAUUAAAAGUGAGUUUAAUCCAAGCAGCUCUAAUGGCGCGGUGUUGCCAUUUAAACGUUAAUUACAAAAACAAAACGUUCGUUGUACUGUCUCUGGAAAAAAUCAACAGUGAUUGAUCAGCCUUUAUUUAUACAGUAUUGUAGACGUUAUUAUUACCUAGGCGAAGCAACAUUUGCUGAAAUAUAGGCUACAGUAAGAGCGCCUGCAUGGCUGUCCAUCAGAUGCCUGUCAAAGUUGAGUUCGUUACUAUAGCAACAGUAAAACUUUCAUGUCGUUAUAACGAGAAAACAAACUUUCGUUAUGUCGAGAUAACGAGAAAAAAUAAUCGUUAUAACGAGAAAACAAAAAGGAAAAAAAUUAUAAUGGAUGGCCGCUUAGAACUUCAGUAAAACACAGCCCAAAAAUUAGUUUUAGAACUUGAAUUAAGACUUGUUUUCAAAGAAAGUAUCUUGAAUUAAAUAUGGCAAAAAUUGGCUUAGGCCAAUUAGAUAUUCCCCCCUUAACUUAUUUUCAUCUUAUUUAUACUUAAAGGGAUAGUUCACCCAAAAUGAAAGUUUUGUCAUCAUUUACUCACCCUCAUGUUGUUCCAAACCUAUAUGCAUUUCUUUCUUAUGUUAAAAAUCAAAGAAGAUAUUUUGAAGAAUGCUGGUAAUCAAACAGUUGAUGGUUCCCAUUGACUUCCAUAGUAUUUCUUUCUCUACUAUGGAAGUCAAUCCGGACUAACAAUUGUUUGUGUUCAACAUAAGAAACACUUUUGAAAUGAAAUGAGGGUGAGUAAAUAAUGACAAAAUAUUUAUUUAUGGGUGAACUAUGCCUUUAAAAUGAGUGAUAAAAAAAUCUACCAGUGUAAUUAGACAAAAAAUCCUCUUAAUUUAUUAGUCAUUAGACAUAAAUUUAACUUGACAACAAAUCUCAUUUGCACUUGUUCAAAAAUGAUGCCUUUUAAUGCAACCUUUAAAAAGGUCAAGUAAAAAUUGUGCAAAAUAAACGAUUUUUGUGAGUAAAAAUAAACCCCCAUGUUUGUUGUAUGGAAAACAGAAUUUCUCCAUUUGUGUUUUACAAAGUAAAGAAAUUUUCCAUUUUAUCUUUAGGACAAAAGAGUAAUUUUUGGGUGAAUUAUUCCUUUUGUCUCACUUAACAUCACAAUACAUCAGGUCUGUGCACAUCCCUUUUCUUUUCUGCUUUUAUCUAUAAAAACACCUAGGUCAUAAUUACAUUUUACCUGCUGACAGGAGUAAAUUAAAAACUGGUUCAAAACUGGACAAAAUCUGCAGGAGUGAACUUUCCUGCGACGCAUGUUUUGAGAGAGGGUGCUAUCAGAGGCGGUGAGAGACACGCAGCCAAUUAGCGUGACUGUAGAUAAUAAUUUGAGGUCAUUUGAAUCUCUUGCUCAUUAAACCAGGUCCACCCACAGACAGAGCAGAUCCGCUACGAUAAACAGACAUUCACCUCUGCGAAAUCGAUUCAGCCUGCGCUUGAUAGAGAUGUUCAUUUAAUGGAUGUGAAAUUCGACUCGCCAGCUUUUUAAGCUUGACUCUGGGGUCAAAACAAAUAUCCGAAAGAAAGAAAAACGCAAUAAGAAUUAAAGCCAUUUCUGACAUAAAUACAGCCUCGGAGUUCUUAAGUUAUGAAUACAGGAGAAAGCUGAUUAAAGAUCCCCCCGUAAUAAAAACAAAGCUAAGCUAAAAUUGUUUUCAUAAGCCUUUGCUUUAAGGCGAUUAGCCGAAGUUUCAGUCUCUGAUUUUUUUUUUCCGCCUUUUGUUUCGGUGACAUCAGAUUUAGGGCAUCCGUCAUCCUGGACUGCUUCCUGUUGAGAAAGAUUAAUUGCGUCGCCCCAUCCGCGCGUGCACGAACUGCAUAAUCACCUCCGCUAAUGAGGGCUGCCAUUUACCGCCACAAUUACUGCUAUUUUCAAACCCAUUCAAACCUCACACCCAAAGGCCAAAGUUUUGGUCAGACUGGUUGCCAUGGUGAGUUUUUUUAAAAUUCCACUUUAAUUGAAUAUAUUAAUGUGGAUCUGACGGUUAUACACACAGGUUUGGGGGUACACGUGCAUAAAAGUACUAAAAAUAGUGCCAAUUAUGGAUCUAUGCUGGGCAGAAGAGGAUGGCUGGAAAAAAUGGCUCCCGUCGUGGUUUUAGACCGACUUUUGUGUUGCACGGUAAAUCAUGGUAUAUUACUCCUGCCACCACAUUAAUCUUUGAGGGGAAAAAUAGAGCCAGAAAUGUAUUUGGAAAUAAACUUCCUAUUUAUCACCCUACAGCAAAGCCUGCGGCUUCAGGGGGGCGGUCCAUGUGAACAACCUGAAACGACCUGAGACGGCCAAAUCAUUUUUUUUUCUUAUUGGAAAACGUUUCACGGCCACAACUAUCGUGGCUUUGCCAGCCAGUUCUGGUGCGGUAUGAUUGGUAAGGUCCAAUUCACAGCGUGAAUAAGCCUCUCUCUGGCUGAUUACAUGCUUUGAUGUAGUGUCGUGAACACUUUCCAGACUCACUUCUCCCUAGGACACACAAACGACAUCCAGACGUUUCAUUCAAAUUCAUGGUGCGUCGUCUCCAAGUUCCGCACAAUAAUUGAGGGGAAGUCAGGUGAAACAUGCCCAGGGCCAGAUUUGAAAUGUUACUGAGAAAUGACAGAUGGUAGCCAUCCUUUACCGUGGCGGCAUUUGCGAAUGGACCGCUUGGAUCUCUCCAGGGGUCCUUGAUUACCUUGGAGGCAUUUAAUAGGCAAACUGGUAAAGAUAAAGGCACCAUAUCUAGGUGCUAUAGACCCCUGUUAAUGUUAUUUGUUGAAAGAAUAUCAAUUUCUCACCUUAAACUAUAAUUAUAGCGAGACAUUGCUUCUAAAGCCGCUAUAAUAAACACAAAAAUGUACAUUCACCAAAAUAUAUCUGUAAUAAUAAUAGUAAUAAUAAUGUGUCUGUAGAGGAAUUUUUGGCAUCAACAGUUGCCUCCAGGCGUAUUUGCAUUGAAUAAGUCAAUAUUUAAACGUGUUAAAUGGUAAUCAAGAUUCAACAUUCAGCGUGUGUUGAGGCGUAUGCUUGCAAAAAAUACCCUAUGGAAUAUACAUAGAAUAGAAUAUAGAAUAUAUAUUCUAUUCUGUACUCUAGAAUAUAGAUUUUACAUUCAUUUAGCGGCCCCAAAACUACUUAUUUUCACAUAUUUGUAGCCACUUUUAAUGCAUAAGAUAACAACAUCUGAUAAUAUUAUAUUUGAUAAAAAUAUUAAAACAGGUUGCAUAAAGCAAGCAAAGGAUUUUAUCAGAACAAACAUUUUAGUAAAAAUAUGAACUAUCUAUUAACCUAUUAACUUUUUUAUAUUGUGCAAUCUAAGGUAAUGACUUUUUUAAAAGUGUACUAAUGCUUUUUGGGACCUCUAAAUGUGAAUAUAAAUUUUAAUAUAUUUAAAAUUAGAUUUUUAAAGUGCAACAGUACGUCCCUGCACCUUUGUACUUUCAACUGCUCUUUCGGUGUUUAAACUGUGAAAAUAAACAGAACGUCUUACAGGUAAGUACAUUAAAAUCAUGAACAGGGUUCUGAUAUCGCCUCUGUUUCUCAGCCCUGACAUCUGGACCGACAUCGAGGUCAUGUCCUGCAUCUGGUUCCCUUUGUGAGCUACUGAAACCUUGAGAAUCUUCCCAGUCCAGACAACAUCUCAAACCUCAGUUUCAUAGUCCUGUUGUGGUGGUCUCUCUUGCUCCUUUUUCUUCUUUUUCCUUCCGCAGAGGCCAUGAAGGCCACAGAAGCAGGCAAAGGUGAACUGAGGCAUAGUCUACCUAUCUCUGGAUCUCCACAAACCUGCAGAGAUGGAAAGACAGAAAGAGAAAUGUACGUUCCAGUCAAGUAAAUCAUGGAUACUGACAAAUCUCAGUGCUCUUUAAGUAAAAUUGAGAAGUAAAAUAAAGCAAUUCAGGUAACAGCGCAAAUUUAUAAAAAACAUUGAAUACAAUUUUGAUUAGUUAAAAUUACGAAAAUAAU
Molecule: long non-coding RNA, 4028 nt
Organism: Cyprinus carpio carpio
Lineage: Eukaryota; Metazoa; Chordata; Actinopteri; Cypriniformes; Cyprinidae
Source: Ensembl